RNAcentral lists this ribosomal RNA (482 nucleotides) under uncultured bacterium. RNAcentral describes it as "partial 16S ribosomal RNA". It matches the Rfam family "Bacterial small subunit ribosomal RNA", at positions 30 to 507 of the family's 1533-position model. The record is from RNAcentral.
AUUGAACGCUGGCGGCAUGCCUUACACAUGCAAGUCGAACGGUAACAGGUCUUCGGAUGCUGACGAGUGGCGAACGGGUGAGUAAUACAUCGGAACGUGCCCGAUCGUGGGGGAUAACGAAGCGAAAGCUUUGCUAAUACCGCAUAAGAUCUACGGAUGAAAGCAGGGGACCGCAAGGCCUUGCGCGAACGGAGCGGCCGAUGGCAGAUUAGGUAGUUGGUGGGAUAAAAGCUUACCAAGCCGACGAUCUGUAGCUGGUCUGAGAGGACGACCAGCCACACUGGAACUGAGACACGGCCCAGACUCCUACGGGAGGCAGCAGUGGGGAAUUUUGGACAAUGGGCGAAAGCCUGAUCCAGCCAUGCCGCGUGCAGGAUGAAGGCCUUCGGGUUGUAAACUGCUUUUGUACGGAACGAAAAGACUCUGGUUAAUACCUGGGGUCCAUGACGGUACCGUAAGAAUAAGCACCGGCUAACUACGUG